UCCUGGGAUUGGACUAUGGUUUGAUCAC
Molecule: non-coding RNA, 28 nt
Filed under: Homo sapiens (human)
Lineage: Eukaryota; Metazoa; Chordata; Mammalia; Primates; Hominidae
Source: RNAcentral